RNAcentral lists this ribosomal RNA (696 nucleotides) under uncultured bacterium. Its description in RNAcentral is "bacterial SSU rRNA". It matches the Rfam family "Bacterial small subunit ribosomal RNA", at positions 32 to 715 of the family's 1533-position model. The record is from RNAcentral. RNAcentral also lists the same sequence under 1 other name.
AACGCUAGCUACAGGCUUAACACAUGCAAGUCGAGGGGAAACGACAUCGAAAGCUUGCUUUUGAUGGGCGUCGACCGGCGCACGGGUGAGUAACGCGUAUCCAACCUGCCCACCACUUGGGGAUAACCUUGCGAAAGUAAGACUAAUACCCGAUGAUAUCUCUAGACGACAUCUGAAAGGGAUUAAAGAUUUAUCGGUGAUGGAUGGGGAUGCGUCUGAUUAGCUUGUUGGCGGGGUAACGGCCCACCAAGGCAACGAUCAGUAGGGGUUCUGAGAGGAAGGUCCCCCACAUUGGAACUGAGACACGGUCCAAACUCCUACGGGAGGCAGCAGUGAGGAAUAUUGGUCAAUGGGCGAGAGCCUGAACCAGCCAAGUAGCGUGCAGGACGACGGCCCUAUGGGUUGUAAACUGCUUUUAUAAGGGAAUAAAGUGAGUCUCGUGAGACUUUUUGCAUGUACCUUAUGAAUAAGGACCGGCUAAUUCCGUGCCAGCAGCCGCGGUAAUACGGAAGGUCCGGGCGUUAUCCGGAUUUAUUGGGUUUAAAGGGAGCGUAGGCCGGAGAUUAAGCGUGUUGUGAAAUGUAGACGCUCAACGUCUGCACUGCAGCGCGAACUGGUUUCCUUGAGUACGCACAAAGUGGGCGGAAUUCGUGGUGUAGCGGUGAAAUGCUUAGAUAUCACGAAGAACUCCGAUUG